CAGUCGCCGCGGUAACACGAAGGGUGCAAGCGUUAAUCGGAAUUACUGGGCGUAAAGCGUGCGUAGGUGGUGGUUUAAGUCCGUUGUGAAAGCCCUGGGCUCAACCUGGGAAUUGCAGUGGAUACUGGGCCACUAGAGUGUGGUAGAGGAUAGUGGAAUUUCCGGUGUAGCAGUGAAAUGCGUAGAGAUCGGAAGGAACAUCUGUGGCGAAGGCGACUAUCUGGGCCAACACUGACACUGAGGCACGAAAGCGUGGGGAGCAAACAGGAUUAGAUACCCCAGUAGUCCCUGUCUCUUAUAA
Molecule: ribosomal RNA, 301 nt
Filed under: uncultured bacterium
Lineage: Bacteria
Description: partial 16S ribosomal RNA
Rfam family: Bacterial small subunit ribosomal RNA
Source: RNAcentral